RNAcentral lists this ribosomal RNA (468 nucleotides) under uncultured bacterium. RNAcentral describes it as "partial 16S ribosomal RNA". It matches the Rfam family "Bacterial small subunit ribosomal RNA", at positions 28 to 507 of the family's 1533-position model. The record is from RNAcentral.
GACGAACGCUGGCGGCGUGCUUAACACAUGCAAGUCGAACGGAAAUGCCCUGCUUUUGUGGGGUGCUCGAGUGGCGAACGGGUGAGUAACACGUGAGUAACCUGCCCUUGACUUUGGGAUAACUUCAGGAAACUGGGGCUAAUACCGGAUAGGAGCUCCUGCUGCAUGGUGGGGGUUGGAAAGUUUCGGCGGUUGGGGAUGGACUCGCGGCUUAUCAGCUUGUUGGUGGGGUAGUGGCUUACCAAGGCUUUGACGGGUAGCCGGCCUGAGAGGGUGACCGGCCACAUUGGGACUGAGAUACGGCCCAGACUCCUACGGGAGGCAGCAGUGGGGAAUAUUGCACAAUGGGCGGAAGACUGAUGCAGCAACGCCGCGUGCGGGAUGACGGCCUUCGGGUUGUAAACCGCUUUCGCCUGUGACGAAGCGUGAGUGACGGUAAUGGGUAAAGAAGCACCGGAUAACUACGUG